AGAGUUUGAUCAUGGCUCAGGACGAACGCUGGCGGCGUGCUUAACACAUGCAAGUCGAGCGAUGAAGCUUCUUCGGAAGUGGAUUAGCGGCGGACGGGUGAGUAACACGUGGGUAACCUGCCUCAUAGAGGGGAAUAGCCUUCCGAAAGGAAGAUUAAUACCGCAUAACAUUGCAGUACCGCAUGGUACAGUAAUUAAAGGAGUAAUCCGCUAUGAGAUGGACCCGCGUCGCAUUAGCUAGUUGGUGAGGUAACGGCUCACCAAGGCGACGAUGCGUAGCCGACCUGAGAGGGUGAUCGGCCACAUUGGGACUGAGACACGGCCCAGACUCCUACGGGAGGCAGCAGUGGGGAAUAUUGCACAAUGGGGGAAACCCUGAUGCAGCAACGCCGCGUGAGUGAUGACGGUCUUCGGAUUGUAAAACUCUGUCUUUGGGGACGAUAAUGACGGUACCCAAGGAGGAAGCCACGGCUAACUACGUGCCAGCAGCCGCGGUAAUACGUAGGUGGCAAGCGUUGUCCGGAUUUACUGGGCGUAAAGGGAGCGUAGGUGGAUAUUUAAGUGGGAUGUGAAAUACUCGGGCUUAACCUGAGUGCUGCAUUCCAAACUGGAUAUCUAGAGUGCAGGAGAGGAAAGUAGAAUUCCUAGUGUAGCGGUGAAAUGCGUAGAGAUUAGGAAGAAUACCAGUGGCGAAGGCGACUUUCUGGACUGUAACUGACACUGAGGCUCGAAAGCGUGGGGAGCAAACAGGAUUAGAUACCCUAGUAGUCC
RNAcentral lists this ribosomal RNA (771 nucleotides) under uncultured bacterium. RNAcentral's name for it is "bacterial SSU rRNA". It matches the Rfam family "Bacterial small subunit ribosomal RNA", at positions 8 to 796 of the family's 1533-position model. The record is from RNAcentral.